GAGAGUAUAGCUCCGUAGUAGAGUGUGUGCCUAGAAUGCACAAGGUCCUGGGUUCAAUCCCCAGCACCUCCA
This 72-nucleotide transfer RNA is filed under the name Camelus bactrianus (Bactrian camel). It matches the Rfam family "tRNA". Rfam says of the family: Transfer RNA (tRNA) molecules are approximately 80 nucleotides in length. Their secondary structure includes four short double-helical elements and three loops (D, anti-codon, and T loops). Further hydrogen bonds mediate the characteristic L-shaped molecular structure. tRNAs have two regions of fundamental functional importance: the anti-codon, which is responsible for specific mRNA codon recognition, and the 3' end, to which the tRNAs corresponding amino acid is attached (by aminoacyl-tRNA synthetases). tRNAs cope with the degeneracy of the genetic code in two manners: having more than one tRNA (with a specific anti-codon) for a particular amino acid; and 'wobble' base-pairing, i.e. permitting non-standard base-pairing at the 3rd anti-codon position. RNAcentral also lists the same sequence under 2 other names. The record is from Rfam by way of RNAcentral. Lineage: Eukaryota; Metazoa; Chordata; Mammalia; Artiodactyla; Camelidae.